UGAGCCCCUCAUGCCUGAAAGGACGGGGUCCCACAGACCCUCCUGAAGAGACGGAGACGCCACAAAGACAGCGCCGCGUGAAGUAGCUUCAAACGCAGGUUUCACUGGAGGCGGAGCCCGCCGCCGCUCAGGCAGAGAGGAGGCUUCCUUUAAUGUGACCAGGAGGCGGUGGGAGUUCCUCCCACCAUCACUGCCUUCAGCUGCAGGCUGCAGGACUCAGCCUGAGAGCAGAACCACUGCAGGCAGAGCCGGCGUGGAGAAGUUUCACGGAUAAAGCUGACAACUCCAGCAGGAUGGAGAUCAUCCUGCAGCACCAAUCCCAGGGUCCUCAUUGGCUGAAGACGUGAAACACUCGGAUCGUGUGAAGCAGCAGCUCUGUGGAUCUGCAUGGUGGGAAUUCACUGAAGCUUGCUGGAAUCCUGCAACAAAACGAGGAUUUCUGUGCAUGUUAGCAUCAAUAAACCUCUAAGUUUAAAGCUGCAUGUUGGCUCUCAGAAACACUAAACUCCACGUGAUGGUGGCGUCAGGAACACUAAUGAAGAAAGAAAGACUGCGUCCAGAUGCUGUGAUUCAGUCAGACGUCUCCAGACGUUUUCACACCACAGACUGGUUCAUGUCAGACAAUAUUUUCAUGG
Long non-coding RNA from Oryzias melastigma (Indian medaka), 635 nucleotides. RefSeq lists it as uncharacterized. The record is from RefSeq and is a predicted model, not a curated record. The transcript has 3 exons. NCBI's taxonomy places the organism in Eukaryota, Metazoa, Chordata, Actinopteri, Beloniformes, Adrianichthyidae.